Molecule: ribosomal RNA, 467 nt
Filed under: uncultured bacterium
Lineage: Bacteria
Description: partial 16S ribosomal RNA
Rfam family: Bacterial small subunit ribosomal RNA
Source: RNAcentral
GAUGAACGCUGGCGGCGUGCUUAACACAUGCAAGUCGAACGAUGAUGCCCAGCUUGCUGGGUGGAUUAGUGGCGAACGGGUGAGUAACACGUGAGUAACCUGCCCUUGACUCUGGGAUAAGCCUGGGAAACUGGGUCUAAUACCGGAUACGACCAUCUGGCGCAUGUCAUGGUGGUGGAAAGCUUUUGUGGUUUUGGAUGGACUCGCGGCCUAUCAGCUUGUUGGUGGGGUAAUGGCCUACCAAGGCGACGACGGGUAGCCGGCCUGAGAGGGUGACCGGCCACACUGGGACUGAGACACGGCCCAGACUCCUACGGGAGGCAGCAGUGGGGAAUAUUGCACAAUGGGCGCAAGCCUGAUGCAGCGACGCCGCGUGAGGGAUGACGGCCUUCGGGUUGUGAACCUCUUUCAGUAGGGAAGAAGCGAAAGUGACGGUACCUGCAGAAGAAGCGCCGGCUAACUACGUG